This 28-nucleotide small RNA is filed under the name Bombyx mori (domestic silkworm). RNAcentral's name for it is "ovarian small RNA-25064". Lineage: Eukaryota; Metazoa; Arthropoda; Insecta; Lepidoptera; Bombycidae. The record is from RNAcentral.
UCACAUGAGACAGAACUCAUGACAAGGC